AUAAGUUACAAAGGGCGUACAGUGGAUGCCUAGGCACCGAAAGACGAAGAAGGACGCGACUACCUGCGAAAAGCUGCGGCGAGUUGGACGUAAACUUUGACCCGCAGAUGUCCGAAUGGGGAAACCCGAUAUGCUAACUACAUAUCAUACGAGCGGUGAAUACAUAGCCGCCGUAAGGCAACCCAGGGAAUUGAAACAUCUUAGUACCUGGAGGAAAAGAAAGAGAAUCGAUUCCGUCAGUAGCGGCGAGCGAAAGCGGAAGAGCCCAAACCAAGAAAUUGGGGUUCGGGGUUACAAAGAAUCAUGACGAAGAAGAAGAAGUGUUUGGAAUGGCACAUCUAAGAGGGUGAAAAUCCCGUAUUCGUAAGAGAGUCAUGGUCGUAACUACCAGAGUAGGGCGGGGCACGUGAAACCCUGUCUGAAUGAGCGGAGACCACUCCGUAAGGCUAAAUACUCUUCGGUGACCGAUAGUGAACCAGUACCGUGAGGGAAAGGUGAAAAGAACCCCGGGAGGGGAGUGAAAAGAAUCUGAAACUGUAUGCUUACAAGAUGUCAGAGACCGUUAAAGGUUGAUGACGUGCCUAUUGAAGAAUGAGCCGGCGAGUUAUGUAUACAUGCGAGGUUAAGGAGAAGAUCCGGAGCCGUAGCGAAAGCGAGUCUGAAUAGGGCGUUCAGUAUGUGUAUGUAGACCCGAAACCCGACGAUCUAGCCAUGAUCAAGAUGAAGUAAGGGUCAAACCUUAUGGAGGUCUGAACCGACGUUCGUUGAAACGACCGCGGAUGAAUUGUGGCUCGUGGUGAAAUUCCAAUCGAGUCGGGUAAUAGCUGGUUCUCCUCGAAAUAGCUUUAGGGCUAGCCUCAGAACACUACAUUUUGGAGGUAGAGCACUGAAUGAAAGCGAGCCGCGCCAAGCGGUAUCAAUUUCAAUCAAACUCCGAAUUCCGAGAUGCUUAUUCUGGGAGUCAGACUGUGGGAGAUAAGUUUCAUGGUCAAAAGGGCAACAGCCCGGACCGCCAACUAAGGUCCCUAAAUUCGCGCUAAGUGUUAAAGGAUGUAGAGAUACUUAAACAGCUAGGAUGUUGGCUCAGAGGCAGCCAUCAUUUAAAGAAUGCGUAACAGCUCACUAGUCAAGUGUCUCCGCGCCGAAAAUUUACCGGGGCUAAGCGCGAUACCGAAGUUGCGGAUAUUUCUAAAGAAAUGUGGUAGGGGAGCGUUCCAUUAGCAUAGAAGCCAUACCGGAAGGAGUGGUGGAGCGAAUGGAAGUGAGAAUGCCGGCGUAAGUAACGAUAAGAGGUGAGAAUCCUCUUCACCAUUUGACUAAGGUUUCCUGGGCUAGGUUCGUCCACCCAGGGUCAGUCGGGACCUAAGACGAGGCCGAAAGGCGUAGCCGAUGGACAGCAGGUUAAUAUUCCUGAACCCGGUUGUGUGCGAUCGCAGUGACGAAAGCGGUUAGGUUUACCCACGAAUGGAAGUGUGGGGAGAUAGUGAUAAGCUGUCGGCUAGAAUCCGACACCAAGUGAAACACCGAAGUACGAAAGGGGUGACCUGAGUAGGAAGUAGCUGAUACCGAUUUCCAAGAAAAGCUGCUAGCUUAAGCACAAUCGGCCCGUACCGAGAACGGACACACGUGGUCAAGGAGAGUAUCCUAAGGUGAGCGAGAUAACUGUUGUUAAGGAACUCUGCAAAAUUACUUCGUAAGUUAGCGAGAAGAAGUGCUCCGUAAAAGGAGCCGCAGUGAAGAGGCCCAAGUAACUGUUUACCAAAAACACAGCUCUAUGCUAAGUCGUAAGACGAUGUAUAUGGGGUGAAGCCUGCCCGGUGCCGGAAGGUUAAUAGGAGAGGUGAAAGCUUUGAAUUGAAGCCCCGGUGAACGGCGGCCGUAACUAUAACGGUCCUAAGGUAGCGAAAUUCCUUGUCAGGUAAGUUCUGACCCGCA
This 1935-nucleotide ribosomal RNA is filed under the name human gut metagenome. Its description in RNAcentral is "bacterial LSU rRNA". It matches the Rfam family "Bacterial large subunit ribosomal RNA", at positions 1 to 1992 of the family's 2925-position model. The record is from RNAcentral.